GUCCGGUUGGCACUAUGUUGGGUAAAGCACCCAACCGGAAAUUGGGGGAUCUGGGUUCAAGUCCCGGUCCGGGCU
RNAcentral lists this transfer RNA (75 nucleotides) under Strigamia maritima. It matches the Rfam family "tRNA". From Rfam's summary of the family: Transfer RNA (tRNA) molecules are approximately 80 nucleotides in length. Their secondary structure includes four short double-helical elements and three loops (D, anti-codon, and T loops). Lineage: Eukaryota; Metazoa; Arthropoda; Chilopoda; Geophilomorpha; Linotaeniidae. The record is from Rfam by way of RNAcentral.